This 952-nucleotide long non-coding RNA is filed under the name Microcebus murinus (gray mouse lemur). RNAcentral's name for it is "lncRNA (ENSMICG00000048611.1)". Lineage: Eukaryota; Metazoa; Chordata; Mammalia; Primates; Cheirogaleidae. The record is from RNAcentral.
CUCCCAGAGUGCUGGGAUUACAGGCGUGAGCCACCGCGCCCGGCCUCGGUUUUUAAACUCAUGGAAACACUAAACACAAAAAAAUCGUGAUGAUUUCGGAAUGUAUCAGCGCCAGGUAAAGAUUAGUUGUGACUGUGGCCUCGUCUGAUGCAGAUUCCGCUUGUGAACAGUGAUUUAUCGGAGCCGCCUCCACGUCAACACGAACCGAGACGCGUUGACCAUAAAGCUGUUCUCGAAAGUGCCCACCGUGGGCCAGGUGAACCGGACGGCAGGUGAGGAGGUGCAGGUGCUGAUAACGCAAGAGCCCCCACGCGGCCCGGCGUAUGAGUUCUAGCUUGUUCUAGCAUACUAGUGCUAGCUAGUUCUAGCUUCUCAUCGCAUUUAUCGAUUCUUUGUCUUUUUGCCUCCCCUUUGGCUCAAGGGGCCGGCUGCAACCCCGUGCAAAGCUCUGGAGGGCAGGAACGUCAUCGGUUUGCUCUUAAACGCCUGGAUGGAACGCAAGCAGCAGGGAGCAGCAGUCAAGGUUGGCUGCUAGGACAUGGGACUGCAGUGGGGCACCGUUAGAGGGUCUUUUACCAGUUUGGGACGGCGCCCAUCGGCCGCGACACCUCGCCCACAGCCGGCACCCACAGUCCACACGGCGGUCUGUGCUGCGCAUUGACGACGCGUCCGUCUUGCUCUCGUGUGACGAGGAAAGCUUGAGAGCACUGGAAGCUUGUUCUACUUUACAGGCAGCUUUGCUUGUCAUGUAUAUCAGAAUAGGUAACGUAAACAUGUAUGUUUUCAUGACAUUAUUUUUAAAUGUUCACAAUUUUAUUUUGAUAAAUGAAAAAUUAGAAAAGUCACAUCACGGCUGUUGGCUAAAGUAGACGCCUGCGUUCAUCUGUGGCUGUCGACUACAGUCGACACUGGGCUGUGCACGUUCAUCUGUGGCUGUCAACUACAGUCGACG